Molecule: non-coding RNA, 742 nt
Organism: Lonchura striata (white-rumped munia)
Lineage: Eukaryota; Metazoa; Chordata; Aves; Passeriformes; Estrildidae
Source: RefSeq, a predicted model, not a curated record
UAGGGGUCUGUGGUACCGUAUCACAGUGAAGUUGGGUGUGUAGAGUAAGAGAAAAUCUUAUAUAACACCAGAUUGGGAAAAGACAAGACUUUCUGCAUGUUCCCAUUUUUAGGCUUGCAGCAGAAGCAGCAAACUCUGGGCUAAAGAAUAAAUUGCUGUGACAACGUAAUUCUGUUAAUCAAUUAGACAAUUCAGGAGAAAAAAAUAAAAACCGGUGAUUACUGAAAGCUGACAAUGAGUUGCCUGCAGAGGAAGACAUAAAAGCAAACAAACAAUCCCGCCUGCCAAUUUAGCCUGGAGGGAAGACUCACAUUCUCCUCUGACCCCAAAUCUAAGUAGCAGUUGAACUUCGAGCACAGCAGCAAGUCCCAUCAACCAGCUGCUUUCCAUUCCACACAGGAUUUCACUGUCCAGCCUCCAGCCUGAGAGAUGUGAGGAUGUGCUUCCAGCAGUCGUUCAUCAAUUUUUCUACUCUGCUGCAGGGAUGCACAACAGGCAUGAGUUGUUGAAGAACAGAGCUCCAGCAGUGAGACAAGAUUUCCUGUGGAUUUGGAAAAAAAUUGGAGCCUUUUCCAUCUUUCCUAGAAUAAAAUCAGAUCAGACGCACACCAGUAUUACAUUAUAGUGCAUAUAUAGCAGACUUUGCAUAUAUAUCACGUAGAACUGUAUCCACGAAUCUCAGUUUUUACCAUUGCAUUCCUAUGAUUUUCUAUGAAUAUUAAACUGCUGUCAAGGUCCAAGG